RNAcentral lists this ribosomal RNA (417 nucleotides) under uncultured beta proteobacterium. RNAcentral's name for it is "partial 16S ribosomal RNA". It matches the Rfam family "Bacterial small subunit ribosomal RNA", at positions 338 to 747 of the family's 1533-position model. Lineage: Bacteria; Pseudomonadati; Pseudomonadota; Betaproteobacteria. The record is from RNAcentral.
CCUACGGGAGGCAGCAGUGGGGAAUUUUGGACAAUGGGGGAAACCCUGAUCCAGCCAUUCCGCGUGAGUGAAGAAGGCCUUCGGGUUGUAAAGCUCUUUCGGCAGGAACGAAACGGCGGACUCUAACAUAGUCUGUCAAUGACGGUACCUGAAGAAGAAGCACCGGCUAACUACGUGCCAGCAGCCGCGGUAAUACGUAGGGUGCGAGCGUUAAUCGGAAUUACUGGGCGUAAAGCGCGCGCAGGCGGCUUGGUAAGUCGGAUGUGAAAGCCCUGGGCUUAACCUAGGAAGUGCAUUCGAGACUGCAAGGCUAGAGUGCGGCAGAGGGGGGUGAAAUUCCUGGUGUAGCAGUAAAAUGCGUAGAGAUCGGGAGGAACACCGAUGGCGAAGGCGGCCCCCUGGGUGGGCACUGACGCU